Molecule: ribosomal RNA, 460 nt
Filed under: uncultured bacterium
Lineage: Bacteria
Description: partial 16S ribosomal RNA
Rfam family: Bacterial small subunit ribosomal RNA
Source: RNAcentral
CCUACGGGAGGCAGCAGUGAGGAAUAUUGGUCAAUGGACGAGAGUCUGAACCAGCCAAGUAGCGUGACGGAUGACUGCCCUACGGGUUGUAAACUUCUUUUAUAUGGGAAUAAAAUGUUCCACGUGUGGGAUUUUGUAUGUACCAUAUGAAUAAGGAUCGGCUAACUCCGUGCCAGCAGCCGCGGUAAUACGGAGGAUCCGAGCGUUAUCCGGAUUUAUUGGGUUUAAAGGGAGCGUAGGUGGAUUGUUAAGUCAGUUGUGAAAGUUUGCGGCUCAACCGUAAAAUUGCAGUUGAAACUGGCAGUCUUGAGUACAGUAGAGGUGGGCGGAAUUCGUGGUGUAGCGGUGAAAUGCUUAGAUAUCACGAAGAACUCCGAUUGCGAAGGCAGUUCACUGGACUGCAACUGACACUGAGGCUCGAAAGUGUGGGUAUCAAACAGGAUUAGAUACCCGGGUAGUC